Molecule: microRNA precursor, 91 nt
Filed under: Canis lupus familiaris (dog)
Lineage: Eukaryota; Metazoa; Chordata; Mammalia; Carnivora; Canidae
Also listed under: 1 other name
Description: mir-544 microRNA precursor family
Rfam family: mir-544 microRNA precursor family
Source: Rfam by way of RNAcentral
AUCACCUAGGAUCUUGUUAAUAUGCACAUUUUUAUUCAGCAUUUCUAGGAUGGAAAUUCUGCAUUUCUAACAAGAUCUCAGGUGAUGCCUU